UAUGAAGAACGCAGCGAAAUGCGAUAAGUAAUGUGAAUUGCAGAAUUCAGUGAAUCAUCGAAUCUUUGAACGCACAUUGCGCCCGCCAGUAUUCUGGCGGGCAUGCCUGUUCGAGCGUCAUUUCAACCAUCAAGCCCCCGGGCUUGUGUUGGGGACCUGCGGCUGCCGCAGGCCCUGAAAAGCAGUGGCGGGCUCGCUGUCACACCGAGCGUAGUAGAUUUUAUCUCGCUCAGGGCGUGCUGCGGGUUCCGGCCGUUAAACCACCUUCAUAACCCAAGGUUGACCUCGGAUCAGGUAGGAAGACCCGCUGAACUUAAGCAUAUCAAUAAGCGGAGGA
RNAcentral lists this unclassified non-coding RNA (337 nucleotides) under soil metagenome. Its description in RNAcentral is "partial contains 5.8S ribosomal RNA, internal transcribed spacer 2, and large subunit ribosomal RNA". The stretch from base 2 to 120 matches the Rfam family "5.8S ribosomal RNA", at positions 36 to 154 of the family's 154-position model. The record is from RNAcentral.